This 341-nucleotide ribosomal RNA is filed under the name uncultured bacterium. Its description in RNAcentral is "bacterial SSU rRNA". It matches the Rfam family "Bacterial small subunit ribosomal RNA", at positions 83 to 422 of the family's 1533-position model. The record is from RNAcentral.
UAGCGAUACCCAGUGUCGGACGGGUGCGUAACACGUGAGGAACAUGCCUAUCGGCGGGCGAUAGCCGGCCCAACGGCCGGCUAAUACCGCGUACGACCUUCGGGUGGUCUCGCCUGAUGGUGAAAGCAGCAAUGCACCGAUAGAGUGCCUCGCGACCUAUCAGCUAGUUGGUGAGGUAACGGCUCACCAAGGCGACGACGGGUAGCUGGUCUGAGAAGACGAUCAGUCACAUUGGGACUGACACACGGCCCAGACUCCUACGGGAGGCAGCACUGAGGAAUAUUGCACAAUGCGCGAAAGCCUGACGCAGCGACGCCGCGUGUGGGAUGACGCCCUUCGGC